CGGGGUGCAGCAGGCGCGAAAACUUUACAACGCCGGCAACGGCGAUAAGGGGACCUCGAGUGCCAGGUUACAAAUCUGGCUGUCGAGAUGCCUAAAAAGCAUUUCAUAGCAAGGGCCGGGCAAGACCGGUGCCAGCCGCCGCGGUAACACCGGCGGCUCGAGUGGUAACCGUUAUUAUUGGGUCUAAAGGGUCUGUAGCCGGCCGGAUAAGUCUCUUGGGAAAUCCAGCAGCUCAACUGUUGGGCUUUCAGGAGAUACUGUCUGGCUCGAGGCCGGGAGAGGUGAGAGGUACUUCAGGGGUAGGGGUGAAAUCUUGUAAUCCUUGAAGGACCACCAGUGGCGAAGGCGUCUCACCAGAACGGACCUGACGGCAAGGGACGAAAGCUAGGGGCACGAACCGGAUUAGAUACCCGGGUAGUCCUAGCCGUAAACGAUACUCGCUAGGUGUCGGCCACGGUGCGACCGUUGUCGGUGCCGUAGGGAAGCCGUGAAGCGAGCCACCUGGGAAGUACGGCCGCAAGGCUGAAACUUAAAGGAAUUGGCGGGGGAGCACAAGGCGAAUUGG
This 565-nucleotide ribosomal RNA is filed under the name uncultured archaeon. RNAcentral's name for it is "bacterial SSU rRNA". It matches the Rfam family "Archaeal small subunit ribosomal RNA", at positions 326 to 891 of the family's 1478-position model. The record is from RNAcentral.